Molecule: ribosomal RNA, 482 nt
Filed under: uncultured Flavobacteriaceae bacterium
Lineage: Bacteria; Pseudomonadati; Bacteroidota; Flavobacteriia; Flavobacteriales; Flavobacteriaceae
Description: bacterial SSU rRNA
Rfam family: Bacterial small subunit ribosomal RNA
Source: RNAcentral
GAUGAACGCUAGCGGCAGGCCUAACACAUGCAAGUCGAACGGUAACAUUGGUGCUUGCACCAGAUGACGAGUGGCGCACGGGUGCGUAACGCGUAUACAAUCUACCUUUUACAGGGGGAUAGCCUUUAGAAAUGAAGAAUAAUACUCCAUAGUAAGUUAUAAUCGCCUGGUUAAGACUUUAAAGAUUUAUUGGUAAAAGAUGAGUAUGCGUCCUAUUAGCUAGAUGGUAAGGUAACGGCUUACCAUGGCCACGAUAGGUAGGGGCCCUGAGAGGGGGAUCCCCCACACUGGUACUGAGACACGGACCAGACUCCUACGGGAGGCAGCAGUGAGGAAUAUUGGACAAUGGGCGGGAGCCUGAUCCAGCCAUGCCGCGUGCAGGAAGACUGCCCUAUGGGUUGUAAACUGCUUUUAUACAGGAAGAAACCUUUCCACGUGUGGAGAGCUGACGGUACUGUAAGAAUAAGGAUCGGCUAACUCCG